GGGGGAAAAUCAUUUUUCAUCAAAUUUGAAACUUCUAGGAUAGAGCAGGCAAAAUCCCCUGAUACAGCUUAUGAUGAUUAGCACAAUGUGCUAGCUCAAAAGAAUACAACCAAAGAAUAACUGGGAAAGGAAGAAGUUGAGACACUGAUAGAGUCAGGUGGAAUAAAAUUGCAAUAUGAAUUUGAUGAAAGAUAGAUCUAAAUAGAAUUGUUGCUUUGAUAAGUUUAAGAGUGUUUUCAGUCACACAUACUAGACCAAUCCAAGUCCCAUUACAAUGAUUGUCUUUUCCAAUCUGUGAUGUUAUAAGUGCAAAUUCAUUUUAACUAAAAAAUCAGAAAUCAAUCUGAGCACCAUAACCCAGCUUAUGUCCAAAAAUUCAGAGGAUGAGUUGAAAAAACUAACCAAUAGGUUAGAGGGAAAGACCUAAAUUGAUGUCGAUGAAGUUGCAAACAGCAAAUUGGAAGGAUGCUUGCAAGAAUGGGUACGGCCUCAAUAGGAAAUGGAAAUAAAGGAUCGAUUGACCUAACCCAGAUAGUUAAAACCAUAUUCAUCAAGGUUAUAAUUAAGUUCUUAAAAAGGUACUCUUGAAAGCAAAGCU
Molecule: long non-coding RNA, 598 nt
Filed under: Elaeis guineensis (African oil palm)
Lineage: Eukaryota; Viridiplantae; Streptophyta; Magnoliopsida; Arecales; Arecaceae
Description: long non-coding RNA (EGUI_LNC079417)
Source: RNAcentral